Molecule: ribosomal RNA, 2923 nt
Filed under: Klebsiella pneumoniae
Lineage: Bacteria; Pseudomonadati; Pseudomonadota; Gammaproteobacteria; Enterobacterales; Enterobacteriaceae
Description: bacterial LSU rRNA
Rfam family: Bacterial large subunit ribosomal RNA
Source: RNAcentral
GGGUUGUGAGGUUAAGCGACUAAGCGUACACGGUGGAUGCCCUGGCAGUCAGAGGCGAUGAAGGACGUGCUAAUCUGCGAAAAGCGUCGGUAAGGUGAUAUGAACCGUUAUAGCCGGCGAUGUCCGAAUGGGGAAACCCAGUGUGAUUCGUCACACUAUCGUUAACUGAAUACAUAGGUUAACGAGGCGAACCGGGGGAACUGAAACAUCUAAGUACCCCGAGGAAAAGAAAUCAACCGAGAUUCCCCCAGUAGCGGCGAGCGAACGGGGAGCAGCCCAGAGUCUGAAUCAGCUUGUGUGUUAGUGGAACGGUCUGGAAAGUCCGACGGUACAGGGUGAUAGUCCCGUACACCAAAAUGCACAGGCUGUGAACUCGAAGAGUAGGGCGGGACACGUGGUAUCCUGUCUGAAUAUGGGGGGACCAUCCUCCAAGGCUAAAUACUCCUGACUGACCGAUAGUGAACCAGUACCGUGAGGGAAAGGCGAAAAGAACCCCGGCGAGGGGAGUGAAAAAGAACCUGAAACCGUGUACGUACAAGCAGUGGGAGCACCUUCGGGUGUGACUGCGUACCUUUUGUAUAAUGGGUCAGCGACUUAUAUUCUGUAGCAAGGUUAACCGUAUAGGGGAGCCGCAGGGAAACCGAGUCUUAACUGGGCGUUAAGUUGCAGGGUAUAGACCCGAAACCCGGUGAUCUAGCCAUGGGCAGGUUGAAGGUUGGGUAACACUAACUGGAGGACCGAACCGACUAAUGUUGAAAAAUUAGCGGAUGACUUGUGGCUGGGGGUGAAAGGCCAAUCAAACCGGGAGAUAGCUGGUUCUCCCCGAAAGCUAUUUAGGUAGCGCCUCGUGAAUUCAUCUUCGGGGGUAGAGCACUGUUUCGGCUAGGGGGUCAUCCCGACUUACCAACCCGAUGCAAACUACGAAUACCGAAGAAUGUUAUCACGGGAGACACACGGCGGGUGCUAACGUCCGUCGUGAAGAGGGAAACAACCCAGACCGCCAGCUAAGGUCCCAAAGUCAUGGUUAAGUGGGAAACGAUGUGGGAAGGCACAGACAGCCAGGAUGUUGGCUUAGAAGCAGCCAUCAUUUAAAGAAAGCGUAAUAGCUCACUGGUCGAGUCGGCCUGCGCGGAAGAUGUAACGGGGCUAAACCAUGCACCGAAGCUGCGGCAGCGACACUAUGUGUUGUUGGGUAGGGGAGCGUUCUGUAAGCCUGCGAAGGUGACCUGUGAGGGUUGCUGGAGGUAUCAGAAGUGCGAAUGCUGACAUAAGUAACGAUAAAGCGGGUGAAAAGCCCGCUCGCCGGAAGACCAAGGGUUCCUGUCCAACGUUAAUCGGGGCAGGGUGAGUCGACCCCUAAGGCGAGGCCGAAAGGCGUAGUCGAUGGGAAACAGGUUAAUAUUCCUGUACUUGGUGUUACUGCGAAGGGGGGACGGAGAAGGCUAUGUUAGCCGGGCGACGGUUGUCCCGGUUUAAGCAUGUAGGCUGGUUGUCCAGGCAAAUCCGGAUAAUCAAGGCUGAGGUGUGAUGACGAGGCACUACGGUGCUGAAGUAACAAAUGCCCUGCUUCCAGGAAAAGCCUCUAAGCAUCAGGUAACAUCAAAUCGUACCCCAAACCGACACAGGUGGUCAGGUAGAGAAUACCAAGGCGCUUGAGAGAACUCGGGUGAAGGAACUAGGCAAAAUGGUGCCGUAACUUCGGGAGAAGGCACGCUGGUGUGUAGGUGAAGUCCCUGCGGAUGGAGCUGAGACCAGUCGAAGAUACCAGCUGGCUGCAACUGUUUAUUAAAAACACAGCACUGUGCAAACACGAAAGUGGACGUAUACGGUGUGACGCCUGCCCGGUGCCGGAAGGUUAAUUGAUGGGGUUAUCCGUAAGGAGAAGCUCUUGAUCGAAGCCCCGGUAAACGGCGGCCGUAACUAUAACGGUCCUAAGGUAGCGAAAUUCCUUGUCGGGUAAGUUCCGACCUGCACGAAUGGCGUAAUGAUGGCCAGGCUGUCUCCACCCGAGACUCAGUGAAAUUGAACUCGCUGUGAAGAUGCAGUGUACCCGCGGCAAGACGGAAAGACCCCGUGAACCUUUACUAUAGCUUGACACUGAACAUUGAGCCUUGAUGUGUAGGAUAGGUGGGAGGCUUUGAAGCGUGGACGCCAGUCUGCGUGGAGCCAACCUUGAAAUACCACCCUUUAAUGUUUGAUGUUCUAACGUUGGCCCCUGACCGGGGUUGCGGACAGUGUCUGGUGGGUAGUUUGACUGGGGCGGUCUCCUCCCAAAGCGUAACGGAGGAGCACGAAGGUUAGCUAAUCCUGGUCGGACAUCAGGAGGUUAGUGCAAUGGCAUAAGCUAGCUUGACUGCGAGCGUGACGGCGCGAGCAGGUGCGAAAGCAGGUCAUAGUGAUCCGGUGGUUCUGAAUGGAAGGGCCAUCGCUCAACGGAUAAAAGGUACUCCGGGGAUAACAGGCUGAUACCGCCCAAGAGUUCAUAUCGACGGCGGUGUUUGGCACCUCGAUGUCGGCUCAUCACAUCCUGGGGCUGAAGUAGGUCCCAAGGGUAUGGCUGUUCGCCAUUUAAAGUGGUACGCGAGCUGGGUUUAGAACGUCGUGAGACAGUUCGGUCCCUAUCUGCCGUGGGCGCUGGAGAAUUGAGGGGGGCUGCUCCUAGUACGAGAGGACCGGAGUGGACGCAUCACUGGUGUUCGGGUUGUCAUGCCAAUGGCACUGCCCGGUAGCUAAAUGCGGAAGAGAUAAGUGCUGAAAGCAUCUAAGCACGAAACUUGCCCCGAGAUGAGUUCUCCCUGAGACUUUAAGUCUCCUGAAGGAACGUUAAAGACGAUGACGUUGAUAGGCCGGGUGUGUAAGCGCAGCGAUGCGUUGAGCUAACCGGUACUAAUGAACCGUGAGGCUUAACCUUACAACGCCGAAG